This 548-nucleotide long non-coding RNA is filed under the name Macaca fascicularis (crab-eating macaque). RNAcentral describes it as "lncRNA (ENSMFAG00000054942.1)". The record is from RNAcentral. Lineage: Eukaryota; Metazoa; Chordata; Mammalia; Primates; Cercopithecidae.
AUGAUGGCGCACUUAAAAAGGAGCAUGUUAUGUCAGCACCGGUGAUAAGACAAUUUAUUACUGUCUACAAAAGGAAGGCUCUAAUGCCAUAGUAGAGGCUGGCUCAGCGGGCUGUAAAUUAUGAGCCAUUCUCUGGCUGGCGGAAAUAAAUCCUCUUGUCACUCACUGCGCUCUCCCCUUGACAGGCCAGCAGGCCGCCGGGAGCAGGCAGAGUCAGGAAUUCCAUGUCCAUGACCUGAGAGCCGCACCACUCUGCCUCCCGGGCCUCACCCCGCCCCAGACACACCCACACUUAAUGACAUCUCUGAUCACAUCUUUGGGACACAUGUCCUUUUUGACUUGAAAAAGUAACAACUGUGUGUGGCCUUCUCACAGGCUGAAAAGAAGCAGGGUCCAGUGGAGAAAGGUGAGCAAUGCGAAGGCCUGGCCCGAACACUAUGACUUCAGCAAGGCUUCCUCCACCCCGCUCAGCUGCUUUCCUGGUCGGAAAAGUAGAAUUGGACCGAGAGGGUGAGCUGACAGGGGCUGACCUCUCAGGUGAUUCCUAG